This 233-nucleotide ribosomal RNA is filed under the name Ixodes scapularis (black-legged tick). RNAcentral's name for it is "eukaryotic small subunit ribosomal RNA". It matches the Rfam family "Eukaryotic small subunit ribosomal RNA", at positions 1224 to 1484 of the family's 1831-position model. Lineage: Eukaryota; Metazoa; Arthropoda; Arachnida; Ixodida; Ixodidae. The record is from RNAcentral.
CAAGUCUGCUUUUGACAGCUUGAGUGCUCUUUUCUGAUUCACUGGACGGUGGUGCAUGGCCAUUCUUAGUUGGUGGAGUGAUUUGUCUCCUUAAUUGCCAGAAUGGACAAAAUUCUAGCCUAUUAAAUAGGCGCUUGGCCCUUUGCACUUUGCUCCGUUCUUUAGAGAAACAAGCGGCUUCUAGCUGCACGAAACUGAGCAAUGACGGGUUCGUGACGCCCUUAGACGUCCUG